UAGAUAGCCAUGCAUGUCUAAGUAUAAGCAAUUAUACAGCGAAACUGCGAAUGGCUCAUUAAAUCAGUUAUCGUUUAUUUGAUAGUACCUUACUACAUGGAUAACCGUGGUAAUUCUAGAGCUAAUACAUGCUGAAAACCCCGACUUCGGAAGGGGUGUAUUUAUUAGAUUAAAAACCAAUGCCCUUCGGGGCUCACUGGUGAUUCAUGAUAACUUCUCGAAUCGCACGGCCUUGCGCCGGCGAUGGUUCAUUCAAAUUUCUGCCCUAUCAACUUUCGACGGCUGGGUCUUGGCCAGCCGUGGUGACAACGGGUAACGGAGGGUUAGGGCUCGACCCCGGAGAAAACGCCUGAGAAACGGCGUUUACAUCCAAGGAAGGCAGCAGGCGCGCAAAUUACCCAAUGCCGACACGGCGAGGUAGUGACGAGAAAUACUGAUACAGGGCUCUUUUGGGUCUUGUAAUUGGAAUGAGUACAAUUUAAAUCUCUUAACGAGGAACAAUUGGAGGGCAAGUCUGGUGAACGUUCCAGUUCCGAUGCUGGUGCCAGAGAUAGCGGUUAAAUAGCCCACGCUAGUCGAGCAUCCGCCAUCAGCGGGAGGAUGCCGGCGAGACAACCUGGAUCGGGGGACGCUAAGGUGCCGAAGGGCGCUAUGCCAAUCCCGAGCGGAGUCCACUGACGGACCCGUGUAGAGCGCGCAAAGGUGUCGGUCCGGCUCGGUCGAGCUGGGCUUAAGGUACGUGCCGAUCCCCCGCGAAAGCGGGGCCGCGUCCAAGAGUGCCCGCUGCACGAAUGGACGUG
RNAcentral lists this ribosomal RNA (800 nucleotides) under Magnaporthiopsis poae. RNAcentral's name for it is "SSU rRNA". The stretch from base 1 to 537 matches the Rfam family "Eukaryotic small subunit ribosomal RNA", at positions 40 to 595 of the family's 1831-position model. The record is from RNAcentral. Lineage: Eukaryota; Fungi; Ascomycota; Sordariomycetes; Magnaporthales; Magnaporthaceae.